CAGCAGCCGCGGUAAUACGAAGGGGGCUAGCGUUGUUCGGAAUCACUGGGCGUAAAGGGUGCGUAGGCGGAUUCUUAAGUCAGGGGUGAAAUCCCGAGGCUCAACCUCGGAACUGCCUUUGAUACUGGGGAUCUUGAGUCCGGAAGAGGUGAGUGGAACUGCGAGUGUAGAGGUGAAAUUCGUAGAUAUUCGCAAGAACACCAGUGGCGAAGGCGGCUCACUGGUCCGGAACUGACGCUGAGGCACGACAGCGUGGGGAGCAAACAGGAUUAGAUACCCCUGUAGUCCCUGUCUCUUAUAC
This 301-nucleotide ribosomal RNA is filed under the name uncultured bacterium. Its description in RNAcentral is "partial 16S ribosomal RNA". It matches the Rfam family "Bacterial small subunit ribosomal RNA", at positions 509 to 807 of the family's 1533-position model. The record is from RNAcentral.